RNAcentral lists this ribosomal RNA (463 nucleotides) under uncultured bacterium. RNAcentral describes it as "bacterial SSU rRNA". It matches the Rfam family "Bacterial small subunit ribosomal RNA", at positions 28 to 508 of the family's 1533-position model. The record is from RNAcentral.
GAUGAACGCUGGCGGCGUGCUUAACACAUGCAAGUCGAACGGAAAGGCCCUUCGGGGUACUCGAGUGGCGAACGGGUGAGUAACACGUGGGUGAUCUGCCCUGCACUUUGGGAUAAGCCUGGGAAACUGGGUCUAAUACCGGAUAGGACCACGCGCUUCAUGGUGUGUGGUGGAAAGCUUUUGCGGUGUGGGAUGGGCCCGCGGCCUAUCAGCUUGUUGGUGGGGUAAUGGCCUACCAAGGCGACGACGGGUAGCCGGCCUGAGAGGGUGACCGGCCACACUGGGACUGAGAUACGGCCCAGACUCCUACGGGAGGCAGCAGUGGGGAAUAUUGCACAAUGGGCGCAAGCCUGAUGCAGCGACGCCGCGUGAGGGAUGACGGCCUUCGGGUUGUAAACCUCUUUCAAUAGGGACGAAGCGCAAGUGACGGUACCUAUAGAAGAAGGACCGGCCAACUACGUGC